RNAcentral lists this ribosomal RNA (1143 nucleotides) under Triticum aestivum (bread wheat). Its description in RNAcentral is "partial small subunit ribosomal RNA". Lineage: Eukaryota; Viridiplantae; Streptophyta; Magnoliopsida; Poales; Poaceae. The record is from RNAcentral.
AUGUCUGUGAACUCAAUCUAUUUCUUCAGGCAAGAGAGGCUUAAAUUUUGGUCCGAUCCUGAUACUGAGUUGAAACUUGCUAAGGAAACCGGCAUUAGUGUUUUCCGCAUGGGCGUAGACUGGACAAGAAUAAUGCCUAAGGAACCAACUGAAGAUUUCAAGAGCUCGGUUAAUUUUGCAGCACUUGAGCGGUAUAGAUGGAUCAUUCAAAGAGUUCAUGAGCAUGGGAUGAAAGUAAUGCUUACCCUAUUUCAUCACUCACUUCCACCUUGGGCUGGGGAAUAUGGUGGAUGGAGGAUGGAAAAAACUGCUAAUUAUUUCAUGGAUUUUGUAAGGCUUGUUGUUGACCGUGUGUCAGAUUUAGUGGACUACUGGGUGAUUUUCAAUGAGCCACAUGUGUUUGUGAUGCUAACUUAUUGUGCUGGAGCUUGGCCUGGUGGGGAUCCUAAUGCAAUUGAAGUAGCAACAUCUGCUUUACCAACUGGUGUAUAUAAUCAAGCUUUGCAUUGGAUGGCUGUUGCACAUGCUGAAGCUUAUGACUACAUUCAUUCAGAAAGCAAGAAUGCAAUGAUGCCAAUAGUUGGUGUUUCACAUCAUGUAUCGUUUACACGGCCAUAUGGUCUAUUUGAUGUUGCGGCUGUCACAAUAGCUAACUCAAUGACCCUAUUCCCCUUCAUCGAUAGCAUCUGUGAUAAGUUGGACUUUAUUGGCAUCAAUUACUAUGGUCAGGAGGUAAUAUCAGGACCUGGUCUAAAGCACGUGGAAAAUGAUGAGUACAGUGAAUCUGGUCGUGGAGUUUAUCCCGAUGGGCUGUUUCGCAUCCUACUUAAGUUCAAUGAGCGAUACAAGAGCUUAAACAUACCUUUUAUCAUUACUGAAAAUGGAGUUUCUGAUGAGACUGAUCUGAUUCGGAAACCAUAUAUACUGGAGCACCUGUUAGCCAUAUACGCGGCCAUUUUAAUGGGUGUGCGUGUGCUUGGCUAUCUAUUCUGGACAACGUCGGAUAAUUGGGAGUGGGCUGAUGGCUAUGGUCCCAAGUUUGGGCUUGUUUCUGUUGACCGUGCUAAUAACCUAGCACGGAAACCUCGCCCUUCGUACUAUUUGUUCACCAAGGUACCUUCUAGUUUCAGCGAAUCUUGCUAA